Molecule: transfer RNA, 68 nt
Filed under: Barbatia decussata
Lineage: Eukaryota; Metazoa; Mollusca; Bivalvia; Arcoida; Arcidae
Description: tRNA-Val
Rfam family: tRNA
About the family: Transfer RNA (tRNA) molecules are approximately 80 nucleotides in length. Their secondary structure includes four short double-helical elements and three loops (D, anti-codon, and T loops). Further hydrogen bonds mediate the characteristic L-shaped molecular structure. tRNAs have two regions of fundamental functional importance: the anti-codon, which is responsible for specific mRNA codon recognition, and the 3' end, to which the tRNAs corresponding amino acid is attached (by aminoacyl-tRNA synthetases). tRNAs cope with the degeneracy of the genetic code in two manners: having more than one tRNA (with a specific anti-codon) for a particular amino acid; and 'wobble' base-pairing, i.e. permitting non-standard base-pairing at the 3rd anti-codon position.
Source: RNAcentral
GUAGGGGUAGUAUAGGUUGAAUAUGUUUGUUUUACACACAAAAGAUGCAGAGAAUUCGGCUCCCUAAA